RNAcentral lists this ribosomal RNA (446 nucleotides) under uncultured bacterium. Its description in RNAcentral is "partial 16S ribosomal RNA". It matches the Rfam family "Bacterial small subunit ribosomal RNA", at positions 338 to 795 of the family's 1533-position model. The record is from RNAcentral.
CCUACGGGUGGCUGCAGUCGAGAAUCAUUCACAAUGGGGGAAACCCUGAUGGUGCGACGCCGCGUGGGGGAAUGAAGGUCUUCGGAUUGUAAACCCCUGUCAUGUGGGAGCAAAUUAAAAAGAUAGUACCACAAGAGGAAGAGACGGCUAACUCUGUGCCAGCAGCCGCGGUAAUACAGAGGUCUCAAGCGUUGUUCGGAAUCACUGGGCGUAAAGCGUGCGUAGGCUGUUUCGUAAGUCGUGUGUGAAAGGCGCGGGCUCAACCCGCGGACGGCACAUGAUACUGCGAGACUAGAGUAAGGGAGGGGGAACCGGAAGUCUCGGUGUAGCAGUGAAAUGCGUAGAUAUCGAGAGGAACACUCGUGGCGAAGGCGGGUUCCUGGACAUUAACUGACGCUGAGGCACGAAGGCCAGGGGAGCGAAAGGGAUUAGAUACCCUGGUAGUC